RNAcentral lists this RNase P RNA (333 nucleotides) under bovine gut metagenome. Its description in RNAcentral is "Bacterial RNase P class A". It matches the Rfam family "Bacterial RNase P class A". From Rfam's summary of the family: Ribonuclease P (RNase P) is a ubiquitous endoribonuclease, found in archaea, bacteria and eukarya as well as chloroplasts and mitochondria. Its best characterised activity is the generation of mature 5'-ends of tRNAs by cleaving the 5'-leader elements of precursor-tRNAs. Cellular RNase Ps are ribonucleoproteins. The record is from RNAcentral.
AGCAGGCUUGACGGUCGCGGGCGGCAACGAAAGGACCCGUCUGAGGAAAGUCCGGGCUCCGCAGGGCAAGGGUGCCGGGUAAUACCCGGUGAAGGCGACUUCCAGGAAAGUGCAACAGAAAAUAACCGCCCGUUUUCGGGUAAGGAUGAAAAGGCGAGGUAAGAGCUCACCGGCAUUGCGGUAACGUGAUGGCCGUGUAAACCCCACCCGGAGCAACACCGUUAUGAGCCAAAAGGCUGACCCGGCCGGCUUGAGGUGGCUUUGAUCCCGGCAGUAAUGUCGGGGCUAGAUAGAUGACCGUCCAUAAAGACAGAACCCGGCUUAUUGCCUGCU